RNAcentral lists this long non-coding RNA (2512 nucleotides) under Helianthus annuus (common sunflower). RNAcentral's name for it is "hypothetical non coding rna". The record is from RNAcentral. Lineage: Eukaryota; Viridiplantae; Streptophyta; Magnoliopsida; Asterales; Asteraceae.
GCCCUCACAAUCAAGUCAUGCAUUGAAUAUCUCGUCUCUUCCUUCCCCUAACGGAUCAAAACCCUAACAAUUCAUAAACUUCGUCUCAUCAGCUCCUAUCUGUGAUUAUUUCAAUUCUUUCCCCCAACAGAGAUACACUUGAAAUCGAUGAAUGGGUGUAGAAAUCGAUCAAAUGGUACCUGUAAUUGCACUCGGUUUGGGUUAGUUUCGAGAAUGGGAGAAGAAUUGAAGAUUGAUCCGUUUCGUGGGUGACUUGGUGCGCAUAUCUAAGGCCCGUGACAACCGGAUCAACUACUGUUCAAGUUGAGAAUAUUGAAAGAGCAAUCGAGAGGCAAAGAGUCGUUCAAGAGCACCUUCAUCUGUCGUCCUUCGAUUUUUCAAUCUCUGUAAUUUUAUUAUCACCAAGCUGCUUCUUAUAUGUUGUUAUUUUAUUCAGCAAUUAGCAUUUACGAUUGGGGAUUUCGCUCUUUUCUUCUUCUAUUGUUGAUGAUUUUCUUCGUUAUCCAUGUCCAUACUGUUUAUAAUAAUCGUUAAUUUGUAGUUUCCAAUUGAUCGUGAUGAUGAACAGAAGAAACUGUUGAUGUUGAAUGAUGAUGAGUCCACACCAAAGAUAAAGGUUAUGGUUGGGGACCAAAAUGUCGGAAUUAUUGGAUUAAUCAGAUUUUUAAAAGGGUUGCUACAUAAAAGUUAAUGGCAACUGCAGACCUCAACACACUUGCAUAGAAGUUGUUCGUUUCGGCUCACACUAUAUGAGAAAAUCCAACAUUCAACAUUAAUCAAUAAAAAAGGUAACUUUAACAACUUACAGGCAAUUGAACAUCAACAAUUUUGCAAACGAUCUUAGGAGAUAGUCCAAAAGAAGGAACAAUUUUGCAUUAAUUAUAAUGAUCGACUUAAAUUGAUUCUAUAUGUGAAUUAUUUCUAUCCAAGUUUUUAUUUAUGGUUUGUUAAAAAUCAUCAUGUUCCCCGCUGCGGAGCGCAAGUCCUCUCGGCUCUGGACCAGUUCCGCGCAACUAAACCCGACGUUUUCUUUGCCGACUUCUCUUUUGUUGUUCACAUGUUCUUUGUGUCUGACGAUGCCAAAUCAACAGUGACGAUGGCAACAGUGCGACCAAUGGCGAUGACGGUGUUGUUGUCAUCAAGGGGGUUGUAUCUCUGUAUAUACAUGCCCGCAACCUCUGUAUUUUCCUGUCUUUGUUCAUAGUAGGAGCUUUUUUAUCCAUUAUUGUAAUUGGUGUGCUCGAUCUAUAUCCUGUCUUUGCAUUAGAUAACUUCACCACUAGGUAAACGUCCGUAUCCUGCUAAAUCAAUUGAUGUUGUUUUACAAUAGAAAUUCUUAAUUGAUUUGUAGGAGUUUUUUAGAUUUGGGACUAAAGGCUCUUGAGUUCCUAUAAUAGCAGUUCUUUGUUUAUACAAGAGUUUGGAUUCAUAUCAAGUUGGGUUCCUUUAGUUUGUUUUCUGCUUAUUCAUGAUAAAUAUGAUAUUUAUGGUUAUGUCUAUGAAAGGUCAGUACUCUUUAGUUCAAGAUUCUAAGUGGAAAAUUUAAAUUAACCAAUGGCAGUGUAGUAGUGACAAACCUAAGGUUAGGAUAUUUGCACAAAUUUUGUUGAUGAGUAUGAAUCAAGCAUUUGCUUGAAAGUGUAUUUGAUAUUCAUUUGUUGCCACUACCAUGUACCCAAACAAAAAUAACAUGAAUAUGUUGUUUGUGUAACAAAUAACAACUUACUGAUAGCACUUUUUUUUUAGUUUUGAUGUCGAAUUCAAUUACAUUUAGAGGGGGCAAUCUUGACCCAAAGCCUUCCAAGUGGGUCAGUUUAGGUUGCUUUUAACAUUAUAUGGGUUGGUUUGCGUAAGAUAUUUUAACUAAAUAGGUCACAAUGGGUCACUUGAAAUUCCAUCUUGUUAUUUUCGGGUCAAAGCGGGUCGACAACAUUAAAUAAAUGGGUCGAUGUGGGUUAGUGUCUUAAAGAAACGGGGAAGGUUUCGGAUCGGAAUGGGUUCGAGCCGACACAAGUAUCCGCACGAGACGCGUUAGGCACGAAACGGGUUUGGAUCGGAACGGGUUCAGUUCAAAUUGAGUUUCAGGCCGAGACGGGUUUCGGCACGACGCAGUUUUUGGAUCGAAACGGGGUCGGUUCUGUAGAUGCAUAUGUCUGUAGCUUUCGUCUGUAUUUAGUCUAUAUUAACCUGGUUGUGGUCUUUGUAUAGUUUUUGUAUAUGUUUCAUAUAAUAUCCGGGACGAAAUGGUAGUUAACCUGUUUUGUAAAGUCCAUCCGAACGGAUGGAGUCCAUCCGAUCGGAUGGACAUGCUCAUCUAGACGGAUGAUCAUCCGAACGGUGUGAUGGUUUCUCCCGGAUGGAGCGCGCCUAUAAGGGUGAGAGGGGCACUCCUCUCUUAGGGGAGUCCCCUCUCUUACACACACCCAAUCAGCACGUGCCACGUCAACUCCCCUCUUAAGUCCCUAUUUUGCACUCAAACGUUGGCAUCACUCCACUCACACAAUUAUUUUUU